RNAcentral lists this transfer RNA (67 nucleotides) under Rena humilis (western threadsnake). RNAcentral's name for it is "Ile-tRNA". The record is from RNAcentral. Lineage: Eukaryota; Metazoa; Chordata; Lepidosauria; Squamata; Leptotyphlopidae.
GGAAGCGUGCCUGAGAAAAGGACUACCUUGAUAAAGUAAAAACAGAGCAUUGAACCUCUCACUUCCU